CCUACGAGUGACAGCAGUGAGGAAUAUUGGUCAAUGGGCGUAAGCCUGAACCAGCCAAGUCGCGUGAGGGAUGAAGGUUCUAUGGAUCGUAAACCUCUUUUAUAAGGUAAUAAAGUGUGGGACGUGUCCUAUUUUGUAUGUACCUUAUGAAUAAGGAUCGGCUAACUCCGUGCCAGCAGCCGCGGCAAUACGGAGGAUCCGAGCGUUAUCCGGAUUUAUUGGGUUUAAAGGGUGCGUAGGCGGCCUUUUAAGGAAGCGGUGAAAGUCUGUGGCUCAACCAUAGAAUUGCCGUUGAAACUGGGGGGCUUGAGUAUGUUUGAGGCAGGCGGAAUGCGUGGUGUAGCGGUGAAAUGCUUAGAUAUCACGCAGAACCCCGAUUGCGAAGGCAGCCUGCCAAGCCAUGACUGACGCUGAUGCACGAAAGCGUGGGGAUCAAACAGGAUUAGAUACCCGUGUAGUC
RNAcentral lists this ribosomal RNA (460 nucleotides) under uncultured bacterium. RNAcentral's name for it is "partial 16S ribosomal RNA". It matches the Rfam family "Bacterial small subunit ribosomal RNA", at positions 338 to 795 of the family's 1533-position model. The record is from RNAcentral.